Molecule: ribosomal RNA, 468 nt
Filed under: uncultured bacterium
Lineage: Bacteria
Description: partial 16S ribosomal RNA
Rfam family: Bacterial small subunit ribosomal RNA
Source: RNAcentral
GACGAACGCUGGCGGCGUGCUUAACACAUGCAAGUCGAACGGAAAGGCCCUGCUUUUGUGGGGUGCUCGAGUGGCGAACGGGUGAGUAACACGUGAGUAACCUGCCCUUGACUUUGGGAUAACUUCAGGAAACUGGGGCUAAUACCGGAUAGGAGCUCCUGCUGCAUGGUGGGCGUUGGAAAGUUUCGGCGGUUGGGGAUGGACUCGCGGCUUAUCAGCUUGUUGGUGGGGUAGUGGCUUACCAAGGCUAUGACGGGUAGCCGGCCUGAGAGGGUGACCGGCCACAUUGGGACUGAGAUACGGCCCAGACUCCUACGGGAGGCAGUAGUGGGGAAUAUUGCACAAUGGGCGGAAGCCUGAUGCAGCAACGCCGCGUGCGGGAUGACGGCCUUCGGGUUGUAAACCGAUUUCGCCUGUGACGAAGCGUGAGUGACGGUAAUGGGUAAAGAAGCACCGGCUAACUACGUG